AGAUGUUUUGGGACUACAACUCUCAUCUUCCCUGACCACUGGUCCUGUUAGCUAGGGAUGAUGGGAGUUGUAGUCCCAAAGCAUCU
This is a non-coding RNA of Podarcis lilfordi (Lilford's wall lizard), 86 nucleotides long. The record is from the annotation of a GenBank genome assembly. NCBI's taxonomy places the organism in Eukaryota, Metazoa, Chordata, Lepidosauria, Squamata, Lacertidae.